Molecule: ribosomal RNA, 581 nt
Filed under: uncultured Basidiomycota
Lineage: Eukaryota; Fungi; Basidiomycota
Description: eukaryotic LSU rRNA
Rfam family: 5.8S ribosomal RNA (bases 176-330)
Source: RNAcentral
UCCGUAGGUGAACCUGCGGAAGGAUCAUUACCGAAAGCAAUCGAGUCUUGAGCUCUUAAUGCGUGCUCGGCUCUUCUUUCAUCCACACACCUUUGUGCACCAAUGGGACGCAAGUCCCCUUUUAUUCAUAAAUACCAAGUUAUAUGCAUGUAAACACAUUAAAAUAAAUGUAAACAACUUUCAACAACGGAUCUCUUGGCUUUCGCAUCGAUGAAGAACGCAGCGAAUGUGCGAGACGUAAUGUGAAUUGCAGAAUUCAGUGAAUCAUCGGAUCUUUGAACGCAUCUUGCGCUCCUUGGUAUUCCGAGGAGCAUGCCUGUUUGAGUGUCGUGAAUUACUCUCACUCUCGAGUUUCUCGAGACUGGACGUGAGCGCUUGUCGUGCGAAACCGACUCGCUCUAAAUGCAUUAGCGGUCCCUUGAUCACGCCCAACAAUGUGGUAAAUUAAAAAAGCAUUGUGGCGCGUUCAUCAAAAAAGAGACGCUCCUAACGGUCCCGAAAAAAAAGGGACAAACGAUCUCAUUUGACCUCAAAUCAGGUAGGACUACCCGCUGAACUUAAGCAUAUCAAUAAGCGGAGGA